This 406-nucleotide ribosomal RNA is filed under the name Polypedates leucomystax (Java whipping frog). RNAcentral describes it as "partial 16S ribosomal RNA". It matches the Rfam family "Bacterial large subunit ribosomal RNA", at positions 1834 to 2459 of the family's 2925-position model. The record is from RNAcentral. Lineage: Eukaryota; Metazoa; Chordata; Amphibia; Anura; Rhacophoridae.
CUUGACUUAUAAUAAGAGGUCCAGCCUGCCCAGUGAAUUUUAAACGGCCGCGGUAUCCUAACCGCGCGAAGGUAGCAUAAUCACUUGUUCUUUAAAUGGGGACUCGUAUCAACGGCAUCACGAGGGUUUUACUGUCUCCUCUUUUUGAUCAGUGAAAUUGAUCUUCCCGUGAAGAAGCGGGAAUAUUUUUAUAAGACGAGAAGACCCCAUGGAGCUUUAAACCAAAUAACAACUUAACUACUUAUCCCACAAUAAAUUUAAGCCCUGUUAUAAGGUUUUUGGUUGGGGUGACCGCGGAGUAAAGCACAUCCUCCACGACGGAAAGAACAUAAUCUUUAUUUAAGAACCACACUUCUAGAAAUUAGUAUACUAACGUUUACUGACCCGACAAUCGAUCAACGGACCA